AAGUCGUAACAAGGUUUCCGUAGGGUGAGUCAACAACUUCCCCCUCUAAUUUGUGAUAUCUUACUAACAUUACCGUCUAGUGAACCUGCGGAAGGAUCAUUACCGAGUAAGGGUCUUCUAGGCCUGACCUCCAACCCUCUGUUUAUCAAACCAUGUUGCUUUGGCGGGCCCGCCUCUUCGGGGCCGCUGGGGGCCUUACCGCCUCUGGCCAGUGCCCGCCAGUGGCCUUUUUUAAAACUCUCUUAACCUAUUGUCUGAGUCUAAACAAAAAUCGUUAAAACUUUCAACAAUGGAUCUCUU
RNAcentral lists this unclassified non-coding RNA (300 nucleotides) under Chaetothyriales sp. RNAcentral's name for it is "partial contains internal transcribed spacer 1". The record is from RNAcentral. Lineage: Eukaryota; Fungi; Ascomycota; Eurotiomycetes; Chaetothyriales.